RNAcentral lists this ribosomal RNA (274 nucleotides) under uncultured bacterium. RNAcentral's name for it is "partial 16S ribosomal RNA". It matches the Rfam family "Bacterial small subunit ribosomal RNA", at positions 523 to 796 of the family's 1533-position model. The record is from RNAcentral.
AUACGGAGGGUGCAAGCGUUAUCCGGAAUCAUUGGGUUUAAAGGGUCCGCAGGCGGAUUAAUAAGUCAGUGGUGAAAUCCUCUCGCUCAACGAGAGAACUGCCAUUGAAACUGUUAGUCUUGAAUUCGGUCGAAGUAGGCGGAAUGUGUCAUGUAGCGGUGAAAUGCAUAGAUAUGACACAGAACACCGAUAGCGAAGGCAGCUUACUAGACCUGGAUUGACGCUCAUGGACGAAAGCGUGGGGAGCGAACAGGAUUAGAAACCCGGGUAGUCC